RNAcentral lists this ribosomal RNA (481 nucleotides) under uncultured bacterium. RNAcentral describes it as "partial 16S ribosomal RNA". It matches the Rfam family "Bacterial small subunit ribosomal RNA", at positions 28 to 507 of the family's 1533-position model. The record is from RNAcentral.
GACGAACGUUGGCGGCGUGCUUAAUACAUGCAAGUCAACUGAAGCAGUGGUAGCAAUAUCGCUGUGGAGGUGGCGCACGGGUGAGUAACACGUAGGUAAUCUGCCUUCAGGUCUGGCAUAACUCCGGGAAACCGGGGCUAAUAGCAGAUGAUGCAGCGGCUCGACAUCGAGACAGUUGUUAAAGCUAUGGCGCCUGAAGAUGAGCCUGCGUCUGAUUAGCUAGUUGGCGGGGUAACGGCCCACCAAGGCAACGAUCAGUAGCUGGUCUGAGAGGAUGAUCAGCCACACUGGAACGGAGACACGGUCCAGACUCCUACGGGAGGCAGCAGUAAGGAAUAUUGCUCAAUGGGAGAAAUCCUGAAGCAGCAACGCCGCGUGAGGGACGAAGGGCUUUUGCUUGUAAACCUCUGUAGUGAGAGAAAAAAAUCCCAAUCUUUGGGACAUGAGGGUAUCUCAAAAGUAAGCCCCGGCUAACUACGUG